This 1469-nucleotide ribosomal RNA is filed under the name Lactiplantibacillus plantarum. RNAcentral's name for it is "bacterial SSU rRNA". It matches the Rfam family "Bacterial small subunit ribosomal RNA". Lineage: Bacteria; Bacillati; Bacillota; Bacilli; Lactobacillales; Lactobacillaceae. The record is from RNAcentral.
CAGGGGGGGGUGCCUUAUACAUGCAAGUCGAACGAACUCUGGUAUUGAUUGGUGCUUGCAUCAUGAUUUACAUUUGAGUGAGUGGCGAACUGGUGAGUAACACGUGGGAAACCUGCCCAGAAGCGGGGGAUAACACCUGGAAACAGAUGCUAAUACCGCAUAACAACUUGGACCGCAUGGUCCGAGCUUGAAAGAUGGCUUCGGCUAUCACUUUUGGAUGGUCCCGCGGCGUAUUAGCUAGAUGGUGGGGUAACGGCUCACCAUGGCAAUGAUACGUAGCCGACCUGAGAGGGUAAUCGGCCACAUUGGGACUGAGACACGGCCCAAACUCCUACGGGAGGCAGCAGUAGGGAAUCUUCCACAAUGGACGAAAGUCUGAUGGAGCAACGCCGCGUGAGUGAAGAAGGGUUUCGGCUCGUAAAACUCUGUUGUUAAAGAAGAACAUAUCUGAGAGUAACUGUUCAGGUAUUGACGGUAUUUAACCAGAAAGCCACGGCUAACUACGUGCCAGCAGCCGCGGUAAUACGUAGGUGGCAAGCGUUGUCCGGAUUUAUUGGGCGUAAAGCGAGCGCAGGCGGUUUUUUAAGUCUGAUGUGAAAGCCUUCGGCUCAACCGAAGAAGUGCAUCGGAAACUGGGAAACUUGAGUGCAGAAGAGGACAGUGGAACUCCAUGUGUAGCGGUGAAAUGCGUAGAUAUAUGGAAGAACACCAGUGGCGAAGGCGGCUGUCUGGUCUGUAACUGACGCUGAGGCUCGAAAGUAUGGGUAGCAAACAGGAUUAGAUACCCUGGUAGUCCAUACCGUAAACGAUGAAUGCUAAGUGUUGGAGGGUUUCCGCCCUUCAGUGCUGCAGCUAACGCAUUAAGCAUUCCGCCUGGGGAGUACGGCCGCAAGGCUGAAACUCAAAGGAAUUGACGGGGGCCCGCACAAGCGGUGGAGCAUGUGGUUUAAUUCGAAGCUACGCGAAGAACCUUACCAGGUCUUGACAUACUAUGCAAAUCUAAGAGAUUAGACGUUCCCUUCGGGGACAUGGAUACAGGUGGUGCAUGGUUGUCGUCAGCUCGUGUCGUGAGAUGUUGGGUUAAGUCCCGCAACGAGCGCAACCCUUAUUAUCAGUUGCCAGCAUUAAGUUGGGCACUCUGGUGAGACUGCCGGUGACAAACCGGAGGAAGGUGGGGAUGACGUCAAAUCAUCAUGCCCCUUAUGACCUGGGCUACACACGUGCUACAAUGGAUGGUACAACGAGUUGCGAACUCGCGAGAGUAAGCUAAUCUCUUAAAGCCAUUCUCAGUUCGGAUUGUAGGCUGCAACUCGCCUACAUGAAGUCGGAAUCGCUAGUAAUCGCGGAUCAGCAUGCCGCGGUGAAUACGUUCCCGGGCCUUGUACACACCGCCCGUCACACCAUGAGAGUUUGUAACACCCAAAGUCGGUGGGGUAACCUUUUAGGAACCAGCCGCCUAAGGGACCAAA